GACGAACGCUGGCGGCGUGCUUAACACAUGCAAGUCGAGCGGAAAGGCCCUGCGCGGUACCCGCGCGGGGAAGCGGCGAGUAAGACGGUAGUAACCUGCCCCCGACCCUGUGAUAACCCGCGGAAACGGGGGCUAAUACCGGAAACGCCACAGCUUUGCAUGGGGUCUGUGUGGAAAGUUGUUCGGCGUGUGUUGGGCUCGCGGUCUAUCAGCUUGUUGGUGGGGUGAUGGCUUACCAAGGCGACGACGGAUAGCCGGCCUGGGAGGGGGAACGGCCACACUGGUACUGAGAGACGGCCCAGACUCCUACGGGAGGCAGCAGGGGGGAAUAUUGCACAAUGGGCGGAAGCCAGAGGCGGAGACGCCGGGUGCGGGAUGACGGCCUUCGGGUUGUGAACCUCUGUCAGCAGGGACGAAGCGUAAGUGACGGUACCUGCAGAAGAAGCGCCGGCCAACUACGUG
RNAcentral lists this ribosomal RNA (462 nucleotides) under uncultured bacterium. Its description in RNAcentral is "partial 16S ribosomal RNA". It matches the Rfam family "Bacterial small subunit ribosomal RNA", at positions 28 to 507 of the family's 1533-position model. The record is from RNAcentral.